Molecule: transfer RNA, 75 nt
Filed under: Cordylochernes scorpioides
Lineage: Eukaryota; Metazoa; Arthropoda; Arachnida; Pseudoscorpiones; Chernetidae
Description: tRNA-Thr
Rfam family: tRNA
About the family: Transfer RNA (tRNA) molecules are approximately 80 nucleotides in length. Their secondary structure includes four short double-helical elements and three loops (D, anti-codon, and T loops).
Source: RNAcentral
GUCCAGGGUAGCCUAGUGGACAUGGCAUCUGCCCGGUAAGCGGAACACUGUGGGUUCGAUUCCCAUAACUGAACA